UUGUAAAGCACUUUCAGCGAGGAGGAAGGGAUGUAUGUUAAUAGCAUGCAUUUUUGACGUUACUCGCAGAAGAAGCACCGGCUAACUCUGUGCCAGCAGCCGCGGUAAUACAGAGGGUGCAAGCGUUAAUCGGAAUUACUGGGCGUAAAGCGCACGUAGGCGGUUAGUUAAGUUGGAUGUGAAAGCCCCGGGCUCAACCUGGGAAUUGCAUUCAAAAACUGGCUAACUAGAGUAUGUGAGAGGGGGGGCAGAAUUCCAAGUGUAGCGGUGAAAUGCGUAGAGAUUUGGAGGAAUACCAGUGGCGAAGGCGGCCCCCUGGCACAAUACUGACGCUGAGGUGAGAAAGCGUGGGGAGCAAACAGGAUUAGAUACCCUGGUAGUCCACGCCGUAAACGAUGUCUACUAGCUGUUCGUGGUCUUGUACUGUGAGUAGCGCAGCUAACGCACUAAGUAGACCGCCUGGGGAGUACGGUCGCAAGAUUA
Molecule: ribosomal RNA, 483 nt
Filed under: uncultured Pseudomonadota bacterium
Lineage: Bacteria; Pseudomonadati; Pseudomonadota
Description: bacterial SSU rRNA
Rfam family: Bacterial small subunit ribosomal RNA
Source: RNAcentral